GUCGUCGCGAGGCGGGGUCUGGAGGAAGCCCAAUCCGAGGCUGCGGGGCGAUGAACAAAAACCGGAUAUGAGGCGUGAUGCAUCCGGGACGAGCGGGCACGUGACCGCGAAGCCCUCCAUCCAUCUGCGGUUGUUGGGAUGCACUUUGUAAAUCCGGCGGCAGCGCAGAAAGUGACGUGU
This is a non-coding RNA of Acidithiobacillus sp. GGI-221, 180 nucleotides long. The record is from Rfam. NCBI's taxonomy places the organism in Bacteria, Pseudomonadati, Pseudomonadota, Acidithiobacillia, Acidithiobacillales, Acidithiobacillaceae.